Molecule: long non-coding RNA, 493 nt
Filed under: Trifolium pratense (red clover)
Lineage: Eukaryota; Viridiplantae; Streptophyta; Magnoliopsida; Fabales; Fabaceae
Description: long non-coding RNA (TPRA_LNC011161)
Source: RNAcentral
UUUGGCACAAAACUAAAGUUUGUCUUAUUUUAUGUUUAUGAAAGGCUGCAGAGUUGGGUAGAGUACCCACAGUGGACGAGGUCUUUGUAAGAACUCAAACCAGUGCAUAGGACUCAUCUUGGGUUGUACAAGAUAUAAGUUGCAUCAGGCCUCAGAAGGUGCAGAUGGUAAGGGCUCCCAAACGAUCAACACGAUCGACCCUACGACUCGUUUAAAGCUAUGUGCCCAAUCAUCUAGGGAAAAACUGUUAUGACUACAUAUUUUGUCCAAAUUGUUAGUGUCUUUUCUGUUUAUUUUAACACUUGUAAUAGUGUAAAUUUUUGUUAACACUACACUUUAGUUUGAGCAAGGGAUCUUUUAAAGAUAUGACUCAAUUUGCUUAGUUUUAAAUUUAGUUUGUUUGUUUGGUAUUGGUUAUCUUGUUGGAUGAAAAUGGAUGAAGUUAUGUGAUAGUAGCAUACAAUUGCUACUAGCUGUUUAUGAAAGUAAAAAA